RNAcentral lists this ribosomal RNA (497 nucleotides) under uncultured bacterium. RNAcentral describes it as "partial 16S ribosomal RNA". It matches the Rfam family "Bacterial small subunit ribosomal RNA", at positions 28 to 507 of the family's 1533-position model. The record is from RNAcentral.
GACGAACGCUGGCGGCGUGCCUAACACAUGCAAGUUGAGCGCUGACGGGUGGUACUUGUACCAUUUGGAUGAGCAGCGAACGGGUGAGUAACGUGUGGGGAAUACGCCUUGGUGCGGGGGACAACAUUUGGAAACGAAUGCUAAUACCGCAUAAAAACUUUAAACACAAGUUUUAAGUUUGAAAGACGCAAUUGCAUCACUCAAAGCUGAUUCCGCGUUGUAUUAGCUAGUUGGUGAGGUAAAGGCUCACCAAGGCGAUGAUACAUAGCCGACCUGAGAGGGUGAUCGGCCACAUUGGGACUGGGACACGGCCCAAACCCCUUCGGGAGGGAGCAGUAGGGAAUCUUCGGCAAUGGGCGAAAGUCUGACCGAGCAACGCCGGGUGAGUGGAGAAGGUUUUCGGAUCGUAAAACUCUGUUGGUAGGGAAGAACGUUAGUGAGAGUGGAAAGCUCAUCAAGUGACGGUAACUACACAGAAAGGAACGGCUAACUACGUG